Syngnathus acus (greater pipefish) is the source of this 382-nucleotide long non-coding RNA. RefSeq lists it as uncharacterized. NCBI's taxonomy places the organism in Eukaryota, Metazoa, Chordata, Actinopteri, Syngnathiformes, Syngnathidae. The record is from RefSeq and is a predicted model, not a curated record. The transcript has 3 exons.
UUCUCUACUUGUGGUUAACAUGUCACAUUCUCAUCUCUUAGCAAUGAUCAUGGGCUUUUCUAGUUGGCAGAUUAAAAUAUUCAAGCAGUUUCAAUAUAAUAUGUCAAAAGCAAAAAUAAUAUAAAAUCAUCCAAAGUUGUGUGUCCAUGUUUUAUCCAGAAUAUGUCCUUCUAAUCAGUUAACAAUUGUGACUAUGAUCUAUUAUCAGGUCAAUUUAACAUUAGCACCAUCUCUGCUAAAAUUGUUAUUAUUAUGAAUUAUUAAUUUGGAAAAACUAACUAUUAACCUAUCUUAACUCGGGCCCCCUUCUUCAGGUCUCUCAUGUCAAGCUUUUGUCACCAUCUUCUGGCGAAAUUUAGAAUUUCAUUUAAGACAAUUGUCU